This is an RNA transcript of Triticum urartu, 1120 nucleotides long. It is a transcript of the gene named tubulin beta-6 chain-like, with no coding region annotated. NCBI's taxonomy places the organism in Eukaryota, Viridiplantae, Streptophyta, Magnoliopsida, Poales, Poaceae. The record is from RefSeq and is a predicted model, not a curated record.
CAUACGAUUACAUUUUUAUGGCAUUACUAAUCCAGUUAUGGUUCCAUUGUUGUCGCACACCGAACGUUCAAUGAAUUUCUUGAAGAAAAUGUAUGGAGUCUUUUGUUGUGUGCUUCAACCAGGGAGGUAACUACAUUUCUUCCGUUGCUGAAAAAGCUGAGGUGAAUUCUAUGACAGUGAGGGUUGAUGAUAGGAGCACAAUUAAUUCUGAUGUAAGUGUGACAACCUUGUGUACUAUUCUAUCCUGGUCUUGCUUUUAUUGUUGCACAACUUUUCUGAUCUCCCAGUAGAUCUGUUCAGUCGGUGUCGUCGUUAGGCUUAGUUUAGACAUCUUUCUAUUUUGAAUCUGUGCUUAUACUGUUUGUCAUCUGAAACCUACACUCAGUAUACAUUAUGUCCAGGAAAUAAUCAUCACGUACGGACAUCACUCUGUACUCCUUCCGUUACAUAAUUCUUGUCGUGGUUUUAGUUCAACAUUGCAUAACCUUCUGGUUUUCCUGAGGUACUGCUCAGUAACUUUUUUUACCUCAUGCAUACAAAGAUAGAACAAGAGUCACUGGAUUAAGAAUUCGAACUUUCAGAAGUUCAAAAAACAAAUCUGCAUAGUCUGUGGAUGGGGAUGGAAGGAAAGAACUGUGAUUCUAAUGUGCCAUUGACAGUGGCGGGCAUUAAUUGGGGAGGCGGAGAUAGCAGCUUGACAUGCAUGAUGUUUGAUUAGAAUCGUGGUUACUUGGUGAUGCUUUUAGUUUGCUAGAACUUUUUAGCCUGAAAGAAUGCAAAAUGCAUAUACACUGGGAUUAGGAAUCCAUUAAGUUAUCUUAGUUUCUCUUUCUGGUUUGAGUUUAGUAUUAUUUUUUCUUCUUCAUGCAUUUAAUUUGCUGUGCAGGUGUCUUACAUAAGAUGCUAUAAGGAUUAUAUAACUUUCUUUACCGAUCACAGUACCGACGGUGGCAGGCCAUGCUUUCUAUCUGCAGUUCUCCAACUAAAAGUCUAACUGCAGGAGUAUGUAGAAUCUUCUUUACUUAACUAGCUGAUACUCACGGACAUAUCGUGAAGCACAAGCAGCCUUGCAACCACAAACCUUGCAGACUUCUCUUUUCAUAUCCAAACUUUGCAAACA